RNAcentral lists this ribosomal RNA (484 nucleotides) under uncultured bacterium. Its description in RNAcentral is "partial 16S ribosomal RNA". It matches the Rfam family "Bacterial small subunit ribosomal RNA", at positions 28 to 523 of the family's 1533-position model. The record is from RNAcentral.
GACGAACGCUGGCGGCGUGCUUAACACAUGCAAGUCGAACGAUGAAACCGGAGCUUGCUCCGGUGGAUUAGUGGCGAACGGGUGAGUAACACGUGAGUAACCUGCCCUUGACUCUGGGAUAACUGCGGGAAACUGUAGCUAAUACCGGAUACGACCCUCGGAGGCAUCUCCUGGGGGUGGAAAGAAUUUCGGUCAAGGAUGGACUCGCGGCCUAUCAGCUAGUUGGUGAGGUAACGGCUCACCAAGGCGACGACGGGUAGCCGGCCUGAGAGGGUGACCGGCCACACUGGGACUGGGACACGGCCCAGACUCCUACGGGAGGCAGCAGUGGGGAAUAUUGCACAAUGGGCGCAAGCCUGAUGCAGCAACGCCGCGUGAGGGAUGACGGCCUUCGGGUUGUAAACCUCUUUUAGCAGGGAAGAAGCGAAAGUGACGGUACCUGCAGAAAAAGCACCGGCUAACUACGUGCCAGCCGCCGCGGUAA